GUCCCCUUCCGGAUUGUGGAAACUUUGUUCUUUCGCUGGAAGAUCUGCAGCUUCACUCCUGAGACCACGAGCCCACUGGAAAGAACAAACAACUCCCGAAGUGCUACCUUAUAGAGCUAUAACACUCACCGCGAAGGUCUGCAGCUUCACUCCUGAGCCAGGGAGACCACAAACCCACCAGAAGGAAAAAACUCCGAAUACAUCUGAACAUCAGGAGGGACAGACUCCAGACGGGCCACCUGAAAAGCUGUAACACUCACCGUGAGGGUCCGGGGCUUCAUUCUUGAAGUUAGUGAGACCAAGAACCCACCAAUUCGGGACACACUUGGACCAUCCGCUUCCCAGGAAGCGUCAGCCCUGGGGUGCCCAUGCCCAGAAGCCCACUCCAGCCCUGAUAGUCGCCUCCCAGCUGAGCCAGGAACCUGGGGCUGAGCUCCAUCCUCAACCUUAAAAACUUGUCAUCUCACCUGUCCCGAGGAUGUGCGGUACCUGCCCUACUUCUACCAUCCUCACCCUACUCUUUUCCUGGGCUAGCGUUAUGAUGUCUAAACCUAUCUAUCAUCCCGUUCUGUGCUCUGUAUAUUCAUUUUCCACAUAACGUAAAAUGUAGGUCUGGCUAAGCCCCCUCCACAUGGACAACGUGGGCCCUACUCUCCACAGACUCCAGCCACCUGCGACCCCUUCUGCCUCAUGCUACGUGUGAUCACAGCCUUUUCUCCUGUUGCUAUCCUGACCGAGAUGCUCCUCUAACAAGCUUGUCCACCCUUUCACACCCCUCAGCACACGCCCUGGCUUCAUAUGGCCGCCUGGUACCCUCCCUGCCGUUUCUGCCCAGAUCUGUUCUGUGCCCAGCAGGUGUUAUUGGCUUCAUCUACUUGCAGGUCUGUCCUUACUAACUGGAACACCCCCGAGGGCAGGAACGGUUUACCCCAGCAUGGAGCACAGUUCCGGGGCCCUAGGAGGAGCUCAGAGGACCUGUGGGAAAUGUUCCCAUGGGCAAUGACUCCCUGAAUGUAACGUCGUAUGUCACCUUGGAGGGAAAGACCCCAUAAAAACCUAAUCAUAUUCAAGGGAAAGGAGCUUGGCUUUCCUGGGUACAGCCUAAUGGUGUUGGUGACUGGGGUAGGAAGGGGACUCAGGUAAGUAAUGUACCCACUUGCAGCUUUCCCCCAGCCAGUCACGUCCAGCCAGGCACAGCCACUCAUGGGGCCCAGUCGUGUCCUAUGCCAGGCAGAGGGUGGCAGGAGAAGGGAAGGGGCUCUGGCAGGAAGGACGGGGGAGCCCAUGGGUGGUGAAAGCUGAUGACAAGCUGCCCACGUGGGAUGCCUUCCAUAGGAGCAGGCCCUCGCCUAUGGGGGUUUCCAGAGGGAGACCCAGUUCCUGCUCACAGGCCAGCUGCAGCCCAAGCAACGUGCUUCUAUUGUAUCAUGUUCUCGUCGAUUCCUCCUUAUCCUGACUGUGAGCCCGAGAGGGCAGGGACCAAGGUCCUAAUGUAUCCCAGCGGAGCGUACACAUAGUAGGUACCUACGUCGUGUUGGUUGACUGAAAGUCUUCUCACCCAGCAGGAGGCAGGCAGUGAUGAGGGGACCUCAGAGGGGUGCUCUGGACUGUUACCUCAGAAGAGGAACUAUGCAGAGCGGGGCGGGCUAGCUGGGGAUGCAGCUCAGGGAGGAGACUGACCUACCGUGACCAUCCCACACCUCCGCAGGCACCAGGGCUUGCCCCCUGGGUCAGGGCAUCGGACUGUUUAGAUGCAAAGAAAGAGUCCUGGGCUGGGAGUCUGGAGCUUCCAGUCUGUUUUCAGCGGUGUGUUUUAGUCAAGGCAUUUUUACACUCUCUGGACCUCUGUCUCCUCAAAUGCAAAAUGAAGAGCUGGACCGGAAACUUUUUCUCGUCCAGUUCCAGUAGCUCAUCUUUCUGCACGAAGGAUAUGGGCUCGGAGUCGGAGGAACUGGGUUCAAGAGCUGGGGCUCCACUUACCAGGUGUAAGUCCUUGGCCAGGUUACUUAAUCUCCCAAAGCUGCAAUUUUCUCACCUGUAGAGCAGGACUGACAAUCAUUAGCUACCUCUCAGAUUCUUGGGAUUAGGUAUGCUUUCAGGUGAAAACACUCCAUACGCUAAGGCACUAUGUGAAUGUUGGUGGUGGUGGUUGUUUUUCUUAUUUACUUAA
This 2170-nucleotide long non-coding RNA is filed under the name Homo sapiens (human). RNAcentral's name for it is "HSALNT0380921". The record is from RNAcentral. Lineage: Eukaryota; Metazoa; Chordata; Mammalia; Primates; Hominidae.